RNAcentral lists this transfer RNA (79 nucleotides) under Culex quinquefasciatus (southern house mosquito). Its description in RNAcentral is "tRNA-Thr". It matches the Rfam family "tRNA". From Rfam's summary of the family: Transfer RNA (tRNA) molecules are approximately 80 nucleotides in length. Their secondary structure includes four short double-helical elements and three loops (D, anti-codon, and T loops). Further hydrogen bonds mediate the characteristic L-shaped molecular structure. tRNAs have two regions of fundamental functional importance: the anti-codon, which is responsible for specific mRNA codon recognition, and the 3' end, to which the tRNAs corresponding amino acid is attached (by aminoacyl-tRNA synthetases). tRNAs cope with the degeneracy of the genetic code in two manners: having more than one tRNA (with a specific anti-codon) for a particular amino acid; and 'wobble' base-pairing, i.e. permitting non-standard base-pairing at the 3rd anti-codon position. The record is from RNAcentral. Lineage: Eukaryota; Metazoa; Arthropoda; Insecta; Diptera; Culicidae.
GGAGGAGCGGCCGAGGCUGACUAGUUACGGUGUUCGCUUUGUAAGCGAAUGGUCCUGGGUUCGAUUCCCAUCUACUCCC